CCUACGGGGUGCAGCAGUGGGGAAUAUUGCACAAUGGGGGAAACCCUGAUGCAGCGACGCCGCGUGCGUGAAGAAGUAUUUCGGUAUGUAAAGCUCUAUCAGCAGGGAAGAAAAUGACGGUACCUGAUUAAUAAGCCCCGGCUAACUACGUGCCAGCAGCCGCGGUAAUACGUAGGGGGCAAGCGUUAUCCGGAUUUACUGGGUGUAAAGGGAGCGUAGACGGCAGCACAAGUCUGGAGUGAAAUGCCGGGGCUUAACCCCGGAACUGCUGUGGAAACUGGGCAGCUAGAGUGCAGGAGAGGUAAGUGGAAUUCCGUGUGUAGCGGUGAAAUGCGUAGAUAUACGGAGGAACACCAGUGGCGAAGGCGGAUUGCUGGACAGUAACUGACGCUGAGGCGCGAAAGCGUGGGGAGCAAACAGGAUUAGAUACCCCAGUAGUC
RNAcentral lists this ribosomal RNA (440 nucleotides) under uncultured bacterium. Its description in RNAcentral is "partial 16S ribosomal RNA". It matches the Rfam family "Bacterial small subunit ribosomal RNA", at positions 338 to 795 of the family's 1533-position model. The record is from RNAcentral.